GCCACCCAAGUUGGCUCAACGGGUCUGUGCGUCUGGCUGUUAAGCAAAAGGUUGGUGGUUCGAUCCCGCCCAGGGGACA
This is a non-coding RNA of Podarcis lilfordi (Lilford's wall lizard), 79 nucleotides long. NCBI's taxonomy places the organism in Eukaryota, Metazoa, Chordata, Lepidosauria, Squamata, Lacertidae. The record is from the annotation of a GenBank genome assembly.